Molecule: ribosomal RNA, 492 nt
Filed under: uncultured bacterium
Lineage: Bacteria
Description: partial 16S ribosomal RNA
Rfam family: Bacterial small subunit ribosomal RNA
Source: RNAcentral
AGUGAACGCUGGCGGUAGGCCUAACACAUGCAAGUCGAACGGCAGCACAGUAAGAGCUUGCUCUUACGGGUGGCGAGUGGCGGACGGGUGAGGAAUACAUCGGAAUCUACUUUUUCGUGGGGGAUAACGUAGGGAAACUUACGCUAAUACCGCAUACGACCUACGGGUGAAAGCAGGGGAUCUUCGGACCUUGCGCGAUUGAAUGAGCCGAUGUCGGAUUAGCUAGUUGGCGGGGUAAAGGCCCACCAAGUCGACGAUCCGUAGCUGGUCUGAGAGGAUGAUCAGCCACACUGGAACUGAGACACGGUCCAGACUCCUACGGGAGGCAGCAGUGGGGAAUAUUGGACAAUGGGCGCAAGCCUGAUCCAGCCAUACCGCGUGGGUGAAGAAGGCCUUCGGGUUGUAAAGCCCUUUUGUUGGGAAAGAAAAGCAGCAGGUUAAUACCCCGCUGUUCCGACGGUACCCAAAGAAUAAGCACCGGCUAACUUCGUG